GUCUAUGGCCAUGCCACCCUGAACAAGCCGGAUCCCAUCUGAUCAAGGAAGCUAAGCAGGGUCAGGCCUGGUUAGUACUUGGAUGGGGGACCAACUAGGAAGACCUGGUGCUGUAGGUG
RNAcentral lists this ribosomal RNA (119 nucleotides) under Pteropus alecto (black flying fox). Lineage: Eukaryota; Metazoa; Chordata; Mammalia; Chiroptera; Pteropodidae. The record is from RNAcentral.